GAGAGGGGCCUAACGCGGCAACAAGAACUGCUAAUUCUAGUCCCUUUGGUUAAACUCCAAAGACCACUCGAA
RNAcentral lists this transfer RNA (72 nucleotides) under Oryzias celebensis (Celebes medaka). Its description in RNAcentral is "tRNA-Ser". The record is from RNAcentral. Lineage: Eukaryota; Metazoa; Chordata; Actinopteri; Beloniformes; Adrianichthyidae.